ACAUCACCAACAUUUCUGAUUUCAACUUUGCAAGGGCUGUUUGUUUCAAAUAAAGCCAGCUUAUCUUUUACGUUAAUUUCCCGAGCUAUUUCUGACAAUGGCUUUCUUUGGGAUCACAAACCUUGGCUAUCAGAACCCUUUAGGAGACAGGAUGCUUUCUCGAUCGCUAAAGAAGGCGGAUUCGCAAGAAGAACCGAGAUGGGAUGAAGUACCUGAACUCACUCCAGUCAGUUCCCCGAGAAGACUGACGUGCACCGAGACAUGCAGCGUUUACAGUCAGCCCGCUCCCUUCAGUGUGGACAUACACCAGGGUAGUCAAAAGAGGUACAAAGAGAUGACCAGCCAGAUGCAGACACCCAGGGCACCUAACCAACUGUACCGUAUGCCCUUGACGGAAAAUCAGCAGUAUGGAUGGUGGCUGCCAAUCAGCGAACCCCGCACCUGCGAAUCUUGGACUAAAGUUAAUCGCUUCCCCCGCAAGAACAGUGAAAUGACUAAGUAUGAAAAAUUCUUCCUUCCACACUAUACUGUGUAAUUUUAGUUUCCAUCUCUGUAGUCAGUUACAUAAAUCCCUGUAACAGGAAUUCCUGUGUUUCGGUUUCACCCUGCGGUGCAGUAUUUUCACUCUUCAUAGGAUUGCACUCUUCUGGGCUGAGACUGAUGUUGUCAUUCCUGGGAUCUGUUGGAGCUUAGGGGUCACAGUGCUUCCCAAGUGCUCCUGUCACCACUAGGACAACCUUUGGGUUAACUUUCCAGUGGUCUCUAUUUCCACUUUCAGACCCUCAGUAAAGUAGCAAUUGUUAGUCCACUUAGCCUGCCUUUUUUUUUUUUUCUUCCCAGGUUUGUGAAGGAGAUGUCCAUGACUGACCGGGAAUUCAGCUUAUUUUGAGCUUCACUGAUAAAACCAUCCAUGUGGAUCUCCGUUCCUCUUUCUCUCAAUACAUACGUGUUGCAUUUAACUACUCGUUGUUUUUAUAAAGUGAUGUGUUUUUAACAUUAGCGUCCAUACUUGCCGGUCAUUUUCUUUGUGUCAUGCUUUAACAGAACACCAUUCUGAAAUAUCUUUCUUACGGUAGUGCAUGAAUUCCACAUAUAACUGAGCAAACACUGGAAAUGCUCAUUGUAUAGAUUGUACAAAUCUUUCAUGCAGGCAACCACAAUGUCUCUACAAAGCUCUGUCAUACUGAAUGCACU
Long non-coding RNA from Electrophorus electricus (electric eel), 1194 nucleotides. Lineage: Eukaryota; Metazoa; Chordata; Actinopteri; Gymnotiformes; Gymnotidae. The record is from Ensembl.